This 301-nucleotide ribosomal RNA is filed under the name uncultured bacterium. RNAcentral's name for it is "partial 16S ribosomal RNA". It matches the Rfam family "Bacterial small subunit ribosomal RNA", at positions 509 to 807 of the family's 1533-position model. The record is from RNAcentral.
CAGUAGCCGCGGUAAUACGGAGGGUGCAAGCGUUAAUCGGAAUUACUGGGCGUAAAGCGCACGCAGGCGGUCUGUCAAGUCAGAUGUGAAAUCCCCGGGCUUAACCUGGGAACUGCAUUUGAAACUGGCAGGCUAGAGUCUUGUAGAGGGGGGUAGAAUUCCAGGUGUAGCGGUGAAAUGCGUAGAGAUCUGGAGGAAUACCGGUGGCGAAGGCGGCCCCCUGGACAAAGACUGACGCUCAGGUGCGAAAGCGUGGGGAGCAAACAGGAUUAGAUACCCCGGUAGUCCCUGUCUCUUAUAC